UACGUAGGGGGCUAGCGUUGUCCGGAAUCAUUGGGCGUAAAGAGCGUGUAGGCGGCCCGGUAAGUCCGCUGUGAAGGUCGGGGGCUCAACCCUCGAAUGCCGGUGGAUACUGUCGGGCUAGAGUGCGGAAGAGGCGAGUGGAAUUCCUGGUGUAGCGGUGAAAUGCGCAGAUAUCAGGAGGAACACCGAUUGCGAAGGCAGCUCGCUGGGACGUAACUGACGCUGAGACGCGAAAGCGUGGGGAGCAAACAGG
This 253-nucleotide ribosomal RNA is filed under the name uncultured bacterium. RNAcentral describes it as "partial 16S ribosomal RNA". It matches the Rfam family "Bacterial small subunit ribosomal RNA", at positions 524 to 776 of the family's 1533-position model. The record is from RNAcentral.